GACGAACGCUGGCGGCGUGCUUAACACAUGCAAGUCGAACGGAAAGGCCCUGCUUUUGUGGGGUGCUCGAGUGGCGAACGGGUGAGUAACACGUGAGUAGCCUGCCCUUGACUUUGGGAUAACUUCAGGAAACUGGGGCUAAUACCGGAUAGGAGCUCCUGCUGCAUGGUGGGGGUUGGAAAGUUUCGGCGGCUGGGGAUGGACUCGCGGCUUAUCAGCUUGUUGGUGGGGUAGUGGCUUACCAAGGCUUUGACGGGUAGCCGGCCUGAGAGGGUGACCGGCCACAUUGGGACUGAGAUACGGCCCAGACUCCUACGGGAGGCAGCAGUGGGGAAUAUUGCACAAUGGGCGGAAGCCUGAUGCAGCAACGCCGCGUGCGGGAUGACGGCCUUCGGGUUGUAAACCGCUUUCGCCUGUGACGAAGCGUGAGUGACGGUAAUGGGUAAAGAAGCACCGGCUAACUACGU
Molecule: ribosomal RNA, 467 nt
Filed under: uncultured bacterium
Lineage: Bacteria
Description: partial 16S ribosomal RNA
Rfam family: Bacterial small subunit ribosomal RNA
Source: RNAcentral